Molecule: ribosomal RNA, 515 nt
Filed under: uncultured bacterium
Lineage: Bacteria
Description: bacterial SSU rRNA
Rfam family: Bacterial small subunit ribosomal RNA
Source: RNAcentral
CUGGCGGCGUGCCUAAUACAUGCAAGUCGAAACGGGUCUUUCUAUGGAAGCGUUGCUUCCACUGAGAAGAUAGUGGCGAAACGGGGUGAGUAACACGUGGGUAACCUGCCCAUAAGAGGGGGAUAACAUCCGGAAACGGGUGCUAAUACCGCAUAGUUUUCUUGAUCGCAUGAUCGGGAAAGGAAAGACGGCCUUUGUGCUGUCGCUUAUGGAUGGACCCGCGGCGUAUUAGUUAGUUGGUGAGGUAACGGCUCACCAAGACGAUGAUACGUAGCCGACCUGAGAGGGUGAUCGGCCACAUUGGGACUGAGACACGGCCCAAACUCCUACGGGAGGCAGCAGUAGGGAAUCUUCCGCAAUGGACGAAAGUCUGACGGAGCAACGCCGCGUGAGUGAAGAAGGUUUUUUCGGAUCGUAAAACUCUGUUGUCAGAGAAGAACAAGUUGGAGAGUAACUGCUCCAGCCUUGACGGUAUCUGACCAGAAAGCCACGGCUAACUACGUGCCAGCCGCAGC